AUGUCCGGAAUUGUCAACAAGGAGUUUCCUGAGUUGGCCCAGACAGGGUUGAACUACCUGUCAUGGUCCUCGAACUGCGAGAUCUUUCUCUAGGGAAAAACCCUCCUGAGGGCGGUCGAUAAGGGGGCCCAGCUGGCCUCCACUGAUCCCAAGUUCAAAACUGAGAAUGCGCUGGCUCUGCACUUUCUCCGUCAUCACCUGUCACCUACUCUGAAAGAUGAGUAUAUGGUUGAGCGCGGUGCUUCUGCCCUUUGGACCGCUCUUAAGCAGCGGUUUGAGCGGCUGAAGUACACUGUGAAGCCACGUGCAGAGGCAGAGUGGAUCCGUCUGAGCCAGAAGAUUGAGAAAACCCCAUCCACUUUCCACCCCGACGCGGUCCAGUCCUCAUGGAACUACCGCCAGGGGAACUACAUGAGGUAUUCAGAGUUGAUUGACAUCCUCCAGGUGGCGUAGGCGCAGGACAAGGUUCUCAAAAAGAACUUUGUCGCGCAACCACUUGGGGAAGUUCUCGCCAGGAGGUGAACGCUCUCAAAGUCCGCAAGCCUCAACAGAAGAAGAGGGGCCGCAAGGGCAAGAANNNNNNNNNNNNNNNNNNNNUGUGGCUCGGUGGAGCAUUUCUCCCGCCAGUGCCGCGCACCACAGGAGGUCGUUGAUGCAUAUAAGGCUCGGAAGACGCGUGAGAUGCACCUCGCCUUCGUUUAG
Molecule: ribosomal RNA, 702 nt
Filed under: Triticum aestivum (bread wheat)
Lineage: Eukaryota; Viridiplantae; Streptophyta; Magnoliopsida; Poales; Poaceae
Description: partial small subunit ribosomal RNA
Source: RNAcentral